RNAcentral lists this ribosomal RNA (410 nucleotides) under Verrucomicrobiota bacterium. Its description in RNAcentral is "Verrucomicrobia bacterium partial 16S ribosomal RNA". It matches the Rfam family "Bacterial small subunit ribosomal RNA", at positions 355 to 776 of the family's 1533-position model. The record is from RNAcentral. Lineage: Bacteria; Pseudomonadati; Verrucomicrobiota.
UGGGGAAUAUUGCACAAUGGACGGAAGUCUGAUGCAGCGACGCCGCGUGGGGGAUGAAGGCUUUCGGGUUGUAAACUCCUUUCAGUACAGAAGAAGCUUUAUUGUGACGGUAUGUGCAGAAGAAGCGCCGGCUAACUACGUGCCAGCAGCCGCGGUAAUACGUAGGGCGCGAGCGUUGUCCGGAAUCAUUGGGCGUAAAGGGUACGUAGGCGGAUAAGCAAGUUAGAAGUGAAAUCCUAUAGCUCAACUAUAGUAAGCUUUUAAAACUUCUCAUCUUGAGGUAUGGAAGGGAAAGUGGAAUUCCUAGUGUAGCGGUGAAGUGCGCAGAUAUUAGGAGGAAUACCGGUGGCGAAGGCGACUUUCUGGCCAUAUACUGACGCUGAGGUACGAAAGCGUGGGUAGCAAACAGG